RNAcentral lists this unclassified non-coding RNA (431 nucleotides) under Hevea brasiliensis (rubber tree). Lineage: Eukaryota; Viridiplantae; Streptophyta; Magnoliopsida; Malpighiales; Euphorbiaceae. The record is from RNAcentral.
GAUGACUAUUAACCCGAUGGAAUUUGAAGUCUUUUUGAUCUCCUACUCGUCCCACCUCAUCCGGUUUCUUAGUUUCGGGAAGCUCGAUCAACCCUUGCUCUAGUAAACCUUUCGAGCCAAGCCCCUUCAUUAUUAUUAGUAAGAUAGGUUGCUGUUGCUUUCUGAAAGUCAAGUUUCUCGGCUUUACUUUAGUUUUCAAUAAGGGGCGCGUUAGCGCUUUACUAAUAUAAAAAGGGCUUUUUCAGCUGGAUCCAGAACGAAUAGGAGAUCUAUCAGUACGCCAUCCGCUCCAUAUCUUUCGUAGUUUAGAAACUCGUCCGUCCAUGGGACACCUUUCGUAGUGAGGGAACUCCUCUGUUUUUAGCUUGACGAGCGACUUUAGUUUCCGAAAAACGCAUAACCCCGGGAUUUUCGUAAAAGAGAGUCGAGUG